Molecule: unclassified non-coding RNA, 584 nt
Filed under: Penicillium shearii
Lineage: Eukaryota; Fungi; Ascomycota; Eurotiomycetes; Eurotiales; Aspergillaceae
Description: sequence contains 18S rRNA gene, ITS1, 5.8S rRNA gene, ITS2, 28S rRNA gene
Rfam family: 5.8S ribosomal RNA (bases 215-368)
Source: RNAcentral
GUAACAAGGUUUCCGUAGGUGAACCUGCGGAAGGAUCAUUACUGAGUGAGGGCCCUCUGGGUCCAACCUCCCACCCGUGUUUAACGAACCUUGUUGCUUCGGCGGGCCCGCCUCACGGCCGCCGGGGGGCAUCCGCCCCCGGGCCCGCGCCCGCCGAAGACACCUGUGAACUCUGUCUGAAGUUGCAGUCUGAGAAACUAUUUAAAUUAGUUAAAACUUUCAACAACGGAUCUCUUGGUUCCGGCAUCGAUGAAGAACGCAGCGAAAUGCGAUAAAUAAUGUGAAUUGCAGAAUUCAGUGAAUCAUCGAGUCUUUGAACGCACAUUGCGCCCUCUGGUAUUCCGGAGGGCAUGCCUGUCCGAGCGUCAUUGCUGCCCUCAAGCACGGCUUGUGUGUUGGGCCCCGUCCCCCCCCUCCCGGGGGGACGGGCCCGAAAGGCAGCGGCGGCACCGCGUCCGGUCCUCGAGCGUAUGGGGCUUUGUCACCCGCUCUUGUAGGCCCGGCCGGCGCUUGCCGACCCCCUCAAUCUAUUUUUCAGGUUGACCUCGGAUCAGGUAGGGAUACCCGCUGAACUUAAGCAUAUC